CUCCAACUUCAAGUAAAUCACCAAUGACAACAGGAAAUAAACGGACAUCAGAAGAGACAAACAACACGACAUCUGAAAACAACAACGAUGGACCAGGCUGCUGGAGGAUCAUCGUCGUGCCUCUGGGUUUAGCAACACUCAUAACAAGUGUUGUGGCGGUCAACAUAUGGGCAAGAGCUAAAGGGAACAAAACACAGACGGAAGAACACAUUGUGAG
Long non-coding RNA from Sander lucioperca (pikeperch), 217 nucleotides. RefSeq lists it as uncharacterized. The transcript has 3 exons. The record is from RefSeq and is a predicted model, not a curated record. Lineage: Eukaryota; Metazoa; Chordata; Actinopteri; Perciformes; Percidae.